This 453-nucleotide ribosomal RNA is filed under the name uncultured Acholeplasma sp. Its description in RNAcentral is "bacterial SSU rRNA". It matches the Rfam family "Bacterial small subunit ribosomal RNA", at positions 925 to 1382 of the family's 1533-position model. The record is from RNAcentral. Lineage: Bacteria; Bacillati; Mycoplasmatota; Mollicutes; Acholeplasmatales; Acholeplasmataceae.
ACAAGCGGUGGAGCAUGUGGUUAAUUCGAUGAUACGCGAGGACCUUACCUGGGCUCGAACGUAAGAUGACUGUAGGUGAAAGCUUACAUCUCUUCGGAGCAUUUUACGAGGUGCUGCAUGGUUGUCGUCAGCUCGUGCCGUGAGAUGUUGGGUUAAGUCCCGCAACGAGCGCAACCCCUAUUGCUAGUUACCAUCAUUAAGUUGGGGACUCUAGCGAGACUGCCAGUGAUAAACUGGAGGAAGGUGGGGAUGACGUCAAAUCAUCAUGCCCCUUAUGACCUGGGCUACAAACGUGAUACAAUGGCUGGAACAAAGGGAUGCGAAGCAGUGAUGUGGAGCGAAACCCAUAAAAACAGUCUCAGUUCGGAUUGAAGUCUGCAACUCGACUUCAUGAAGUCGGAAUCGCUAGUAAUCGCGGAUCAGAACGCCGCGGUGAAUACGUUCUCGGGGUUU